GACGAACGCUGGCGGCGUGCUUAACACAUGCAAGUCGAACGGAAAGGCCCUGCUUUUGUGGGGUGCCCGAGUGGCGAACGGGUGAGUAACACGUGAGUAACCUGCCCUUGACUUUGGGAUAACUUCAGGAAACUGGGGCUAAUACCGGAUAGGAGCUCCUGCUGCAUGGUGGGGGUUGGAAAGUUUCGGCGGUUGGGGAUGGACUCGCGGCUUAUCAGCUUGUUGGUGGGGUAGUGGCUUACCAAGGCUUUGACGGGUAGCCGGCCUGAGAGGGUGACCGGCCACAUUGGGCCUGAGAUACGGCCCAGACUCCUACGGGAGGCAGCAGUGGGGAAUAUUGCACAAUGGGCGGAAGCCUGAUGCAGCAACGCCGCGUGCGGGAUGACGGCCUUCGGGUUGUAAACCGCUUUCGCCUGUGACGAAGCGUGAGUGACGGUAAUGGGUAAAGAAGCACCGGCUAACUACGUG
This 468-nucleotide ribosomal RNA is filed under the name uncultured bacterium. Its description in RNAcentral is "partial 16S ribosomal RNA". It matches the Rfam family "Bacterial small subunit ribosomal RNA", at positions 28 to 507 of the family's 1533-position model. The record is from RNAcentral.